Molecule: long non-coding RNA, 578 nt
Filed under: Arabidopsis lyrata
Lineage: Eukaryota; Viridiplantae; Streptophyta; Magnoliopsida; Brassicales; Brassicaceae
Description: long non-coding RNA (ALYR_LNC001401)
Source: RNAcentral
AAUUUCAUAAUAUUGAUAGAUUUUAUAACACUUUCUUUUAUAAUCUGACUAAUGAUAUUUCAAUAUUACAUUUUUGUCAAUUUUGUAAGAGGCUGUGAAGAGUGAUGACAUGUAACCAAGAAACUUUACUCACAAUCAAUCGUAUAUGCUAUUUCAGAGGUAUUUUAAAAGGAGCGAGUAGAGAAACCCAAAGUUUGUAAUGCAACAAGAGAAGAUAUACUAAGGUUGAUUUUCUUUGUCCAAAACAGUCAAUCUAUAUAAACCUGAAUUUUGAUUGACUCAAAAUAAAUUUGAUAUUUUUGAAGUGAGAUUAAGAAAAAAUCAAGAAGACUAAUGGUGAGUAGAAGGAAAAAAAUACAAUUGAGUAUGCUUCGAAACAACAUAAAUGUUAAGUGGUAGUGGAAGCAGACGCUUGAAUUGUAUAAUAGAAUAAUUCAUCUCUAUUCACUUAUCUCUUACAAUAUAAUUCAUCUUCAUUCCUACAUCUAUUUCUUAAACUGUAAGAAAAAUUACAUAAUAAAUUAUUUGUUAUACAUUUCUCAAAUAAAUUAUGCUUUUACAAGUAGCAUAAAAUGAUU